GAUGAACGCUGGCGGCGUGCCUAAUACAUGCAAGUCGAGCGAACAGACGAGGAGCUUGCUCCUCUGACGUUAGCGGCGGACGGGUGAGUAACACGUGGAUAACCUACCUAUAAGACUGGGAUAACUUCGGGAAACCGGAGCUAAUACCGGACAAUAUAUUGAACCGCAUGGUUCAAUAGUGAAAGACGGUUUUGCUGUCACUUCUAGAUGGAUCCGCGCCGCAUUAGCUAGUUGGUAAGGUAACGGCUUACCAAGGCUACGAUGCGUAGCCGACCUGCAAGGGGGAUCGGCCACACUGGAACGGAGACACGGUCCAGACUCCUACGGCAGGCAGCAGUAGGGAAUCUUCCGCAAUGGGCGAAAGCCUGACGGAGCAGCGCCGCGUGAGUGAUGAAGGUCUUCGGAUCGUAAAACUCUGUUACUAGGUAAGAACAAAUUUGUGAGUAACUAUGCACGUCUUGACGGUACCUGAUGAGAAAGCCACGGCUAACUACGUG
This 497-nucleotide ribosomal RNA is filed under the name uncultured bacterium. RNAcentral's name for it is "partial 16S ribosomal RNA". It matches the Rfam family "Bacterial small subunit ribosomal RNA", at positions 28 to 507 of the family's 1533-position model. The record is from RNAcentral.